Molecule: non-coding RNA, 486 nt
Organism: Tetranychus urticae (two-spotted spider mite)
Lineage: Eukaryota; Metazoa; Arthropoda; Arachnida; Trombidiformes; Tetranychidae
Source: RefSeq, a predicted model, not a curated record
CUAGUAUCAGGAUCAGGGAUUAGAGUUUGUUGACAGUUGACUGGAGAAUCAAGUGAUUGAUGAUGCUGGAUAGUUGAUGUUGAAAUUGACACGUCUUAAUUGUUUAAAAGUUCAUUAUUACUAGACCAACUAGUGAUUUAAUUUUUUUAGAUAGUUUUAUUGUAUUGUUUGUUAAUUUAAAGUUUUGAUAAUGGUUAAAACACAACGAAUGAAAGUUGCCAAUGAAAAGGCAUCUAAAAAUGUGACUCUCCGAGGAAAUGUUCCUAAAACAACUAAAAAUGCAGAUGAUAAAUAUCCAGUUGGACCAUGGUUAUUAGCUCUCUUCAUCUUCGUCGUCUGUGGAUCUGCUAUUUUCCAAAUAAUUCAAUCCAUUCGAUAUGGAUUCUAAUCAAACAGAUGCUAUGUGUUAACAUAACAACAAAAAAUCAACUUUUCUUCAUGCCCUCCUUUUUCUUUAGUUAAAUAAAUUUAUUAUUUUUCCAAGAA